RNAcentral lists this ribosomal RNA (375 nucleotides) under uncultured Stichotrichia. RNAcentral's name for it is "partial Bacterial large subunit ribosomal RNA". It matches the Rfam family "Bacterial large subunit ribosomal RNA", at positions 498 to 865 of the family's 2925-position model. Lineage: Eukaryota; Ciliophora; Spirotrichea. The record is from RNAcentral.
GUACCGUGAGGGAAAGGUGAAAAGUACCCCGGUGAGGGGAGUGAAAUAGUACCUGAAACCGCGCGUCUACAAGCAGUCGAAGCACUAUGCCCUUCGGGGAAUGUGCGACGGCGUACCUUUUGCAUCAUGGGCCUGCGAGUUAUCCUAUGUCGCAAGGUUAAGCCGAUAGGUGAAGCCGAAGCGAAAGCGAGUUCAAAUAGAGCGUUGAGUGGCAUGGGGUAGACCCGAAACCUAGCGAUCUAUCCAUGAGCAGGUUGAAGCGCGGGUAAAACCGCGUGGAGGACCGAACUCACCGGUGUUGAAAAACUGGGGGAUGAACUGUGGGUAGGGGUGAAAGGCUAAUCAAACUCGGAGAUAGCUCGUACUCCCCGAAAU